GACGAACGCUGGCGGCGUGCUUAACACCUGCAAGUCGAACGGAAAGGCCCCUUUGGGGGUACUCGAGUGGCGAACGGGUGAGUAACACGUGAGUAACCUGCCCUUGACUUCGGGAUAACUUCAGGAAACUGGGGCUAAUACCGGAUAGGAAUCCUUGCUGCAUGGUGGGGGUUGGAAAGCUUCGGCGGUUUUGGAUGGACUCGCGGCUUAUCAGCUUGUUGGUGGGGUAGUGGCUUACCAAGGCUUUGACGGGUAGCCGGCCUGAGAGGGCGACCGGCCACAUUGGGACUGAGAUACGGCCCAGACUCCUACGGGAGGCAGCAGUGGGGAAUAUUGCACAAUGGGCGGAAGCCUGAUGCAGCAACGCCGCGUGCGGGAUGACGGCCUUCGGGUUGUAAACCGCUUUCAGCAGGGGCGAAGCUUGUGGUGACGGUACCUGCAGAAGAAGCACCGGCUAACUACGUG
RNAcentral lists this ribosomal RNA (465 nucleotides) under uncultured bacterium. RNAcentral describes it as "partial 16S ribosomal RNA". It matches the Rfam family "Bacterial small subunit ribosomal RNA", at positions 28 to 507 of the family's 1533-position model. The record is from RNAcentral.